This 411-nucleotide unclassified non-coding RNA is filed under the name soil metagenome. RNAcentral describes it as "partial contains 5.8S ribosomal RNA, internal transcribed spacer 2, and large subunit ribosomal RNA". The stretch from base 1 to 121 matches the Rfam family "5.8S ribosomal RNA", at positions 35 to 154 of the family's 154-position model. The record is from RNAcentral.
GAUGAAGAACGUAGCGAAAUGCGAUAAGUAGUGUGAAUUGCAGAAGUACCGUGAAUCAUCGAAUCUUUGAACGCAAAUUGCACUCUCUGGUAUUCCGGGGAGUAUGCCUGUUUGAGGGUCGCUUAACAAACCAUCGAUUUCGUUGCUUUUUUUUUUAAAAAGUGAUGUUUAUCGGAUUUGAGCCGUCUUUUUUUUUUAUAUUUAAGUGGCUUAAAAUUGAUUUUUUUGGUACGAUCGAAGCGUAUUUUUAUGAUCAAUUUUUGGUUAAAGAAACGCACACGUACCGUUAUUUAUAUGAUGUAAUACGUUUGACUAUUGGAUUUUAGUCCAUUCGUAUACGAUAUCUUUCAAUAUUUGACCUCAAAUCAGGUAAGAACACCCGCUGAACUUAAGCAUAUCAAUAAGCGGAGG